This 434-nucleotide long non-coding RNA is filed under the name Nicotiana benthamiana. RNAcentral's name for it is "long non-coding RNA (NBEN_LNC038663)". Lineage: Eukaryota; Viridiplantae; Streptophyta; Magnoliopsida; Solanales; Solanaceae. The record is from RNAcentral.
AAAAGCAUAACUAUUUCACCUCUCUUGUUCCAUCCCUAUUCCAAUUGCAAGUAUGAUUUUCUCUCAAAUCUAUAAGAAGAUCAAUUACUUCACCUUCUUUUAUUUUCUUAUUUAUUCAAGUUCUCCAGACUUCUCAGAUAAUGCUUUUCACAAUUCUCUUCAUCUUCUCAACUGGGUAUUGCAACUUUCAGAUCACCACCUCUUUUAAUUUUUGUCCAAAUCUUAUUUUUUUCCCCGGUUAAUCUGUAUGAGGAAUUUAUUUUCCGGUCUGAUUUGACUUUUUUUGUUGGAGAGUUAGGCGUGAGGUAGAAGAUUUUAGGGCAUAAUUUCGAGUUCUUCGCCGCAAUAAUGGUGCUCUUUUUUCAUAUAUUUGCUGCUCUUUAAAGGUUUAAUCUCAGGGAACAUAUUUUAUAAUACGUACAGAGGUAAUAUUC